Long non-coding RNA from Temnothorax curvispinosus, 1580 nucleotides. RefSeq lists it as uncharacterized. The transcript has 6 exons. The record is from RefSeq and is a predicted model, not a curated record. NCBI's taxonomy places the organism in Eukaryota, Metazoa, Arthropoda, Insecta, Hymenoptera, Formicidae.
UCCUCGGGCUUCGUCUUCGCGCGGUGAAUCUUCAUCGUCGGAAAACUUGAGCCGCCUGCGCCUUGUGCCUAACGCGAUCUCCCGUUCGCGAAAGUCGACACGUUAUUUUAUAUUGGGAUGUGCGAUAUACAACGUUACAACGGGGGAAAGUACGUUCAAUGAAUUAUAAUUGGGCUUUCCACUCAGCGGGAGCACGAAACGGGAGUGCCGGAAAGUAACAAGCCAGACUAUCGGAAGUAUGGUAGCAGAGAAAUCUUGCAGGCGCAGAAUAAGGAGGUUUAACACUCGAUUAAUCAACGUUCGAUCAACUGUCCGCGAACUGGAAAAUUGAGUAGAAACCUCCAUUGAAAAUCGCAGCGGUUCCGGACGUCAUCGUUGCUUGCAAUACGAAAGGACGCGAGCGGGAUUUGCGCGUUGUCGGUGCACCUCGACGCAUUCGGUUCCACGACCUCCUGCAACUCGAUCUCUCCAGAGAAAGAGCUUCGAGAUCUUAUCGCGGGAAACGCAGCCGGUUCGACGUACCAGAAGAAUAAAAAGUAAAAGAUGACAAAUGGUUCGUUUCGGCGGUUAUACGGCCAGGAUAAAGCGCGACGAACGGACGGGGUCGUACGCACUCGUUAUUUCGUACUUUGGAACAUGGCGAAAUGGGGGACACGACGGACCACGCAAUAAUACUGGCCUGAAAAAGCUGAAAAAGAGGGCCAGAAGGGCAGCCAUUACUUGCGACGCUUCGCUUCCAAACGAUCGCUAUUUAUCUCGUCGCAACCAGCGAGAUUAUGCAAAGAGUAGUCCUCCAACCCAACAAAGUCGAUGACUUGCCCAAUGUUUGUCAGAAACCUGCUGUCCAUUGAUGACACCGUCUGAAAGACAUUCCUCGGGAUUUUCACCAACACCUGCUACCACGUCGUCGUUUUUCGAUCAGAAAAGAGUACGGAUAAAUGGCUCUGAUACAUAGAGAACUGGUAGCCAGGUAUUUCCGCUUUGUGCUGGGCAACCGUGUCGGCCGCAUAAAUUGAUACAGAUGCGAGUUAGCUGGAGUUUUUCGCUUCCAUCCCAGAGGGAAUACCGCGAUACCAUAGAAACCAACUCGAAUGUUGCAAGCCGCGACGGAAAUGAGGCUGCCACUUUGUAUCGAAAAAUAUCUCGAUUGUCUUGAGAGUGAGAUUUUUCCCGGAAAACAAUACCUUAAAGAAAAAAAAAAGAGAGAAUACCUCGAUCGUCGACCUCGAUCACGACAGCCAUUCGUUGCAAAGAAAGCUUACCGUGCAAAUAGGUCGUCGAAGGUAAACCAAUAAUGAUCGCAUGAGCUACUUCGAGCACGUGCUAUUUGAUGUAAUUUACACUUUAUGACUAAGCGUAAAAAGGAAAACAGGGAAAAUGGCUUUUUUAUAAUUAUAUUUCCAGUUUUCUCAGUGAUAUAAACGUUUAUUGGAAAACUUGCGCGAAGCAAACCUUUUGAGAUAUAUUGUAUUAGAAGACUUAAAUGCGAACAAAAUCGAAAGUAAUGACUUCUUAUAUUGCAUCGGGAAAAGUAAUAAUUUUUUAAAACUAAAUAAUUUUUCUACAGGUUUAUCGCAAAA